This 399-nucleotide ribosomal RNA is filed under the name uncultured bacterium. Its description in RNAcentral is "bacterial SSU rRNA". It matches the Rfam family "Bacterial small subunit ribosomal RNA", at positions 39 to 448 of the family's 1533-position model. The record is from RNAcentral.
GCGGCAUGUCUAAGGCACGCAAGCCGAAUGCUUAGUUUACUAAGCAUGGCAAACGGGAGAGUAACACGUUGGUAAUCUACCUCUGUCUCAGGGAUAACCCGGAGAAAUCUGGAGUAAUACCUGAUAGGUAUGGGGGGACAUAAGUCAUUCCCAUAUAAAGAUCCGUCGGAUGGAGAGGAGCCUACGGCACAUCAGCUUGUUGGUAAGGUAACGGCUUACCAAGGCUACGACGUGUAGCGGGUGUGAGAGCAUGGCCCGUCUCACUGGAACUGAGAUACUGUCCAGACUCCUACGGGAGGCUGCAGUCGAGAAUCUUCCUCAAUGGACGAAAGUCUGAAGGAGCAAUGCCGCGUGAUCGAUGACGCUUUUCGGAGUGUAAAGAUCUUUUAUCAGGGACGA